AUCUGCUUAAAUAAAUUCUUGAUCACACAUUUUAUAUACAAAGAAGAGCAAAUUUCUUUUGAAAUGUUCACUUUGUGACACACAUGACUUUCUUUGCCCGUUAA
Molecule: long non-coding RNA, 104 nt
Organism: Thalassophryne amazonica
Lineage: Eukaryota; Metazoa; Chordata; Actinopteri; Batrachoidiformes; Batrachoididae
Exons: 3
Source: RefSeq, a predicted model, not a curated record